AUUUAGUACCAAUUAUACAGUCAAAUUGAACCAUUUUUGCAGUAUUUUCUACUGUACAAUGUUUCACACUGCGUGCAAGUUCCUACUUACUAAAUAUAUUCAUCUCAAGGCUCAUACACAUCCAUUUUUAAAGUUUCUUCCCAGAACUGUGAAGAAGCUGAAAGGAGUCAUGAGUCAGACUGCUGUUUCCCUGUGUCAGCUGCAGAAUGUGCCACGCUCUCAUAUACAUAACAGAACUAGAGAGCGCAUGAUGCUCCCCGUUUCCAUCUAGUCUCCUACCAUAAUGUCUGCAACGUGAAACUACAUUCUAAUCAUCCGAACCCACACGAACGCAGAAAUCCAGCAGAUGUUUUCAUAGGAGAUGACGUGUCGCCAUAUGGUGUGUGUCUGCGAAAAGAGGGGAGUUCCUGAGCUGCGGCACUUUCCUCCCUCCCCAAAUGAAAUCAUUUUCACUUCAUUACAGUGUCAACCGCAUAAUAAGCUCCCUGAACAAAAGCAUGUGACACUGGGUUUGAGUGCAGAUAUUCACUGCAGCGGGCGCGGAUCAGGCUGUGAGCGUGCACGUACGUCCACAGAUGUUUGGUUUCCCGCACGUGCACGCUUACAGGUGAGGAGUAUUACUCACUCUGGCAGGUAUACCAUGGCCCCUGUAGUCCCACAGGCCCUUGUUACCCGGAGCUCUGUGCCCCUGUGUGACAUGUCUUCCACUCCAAGAACCAGGCCAAUUGUCUGUGCAGAGGUAGGUGGCGGUGGAGGCAGUGUGUGAGUGUGAGUGUGAGUGUGAGUGUGAGUGUGUGUGUGUGUGUGUGUGUGUGUGUGUGUGUGUGUGUCAGAGAGAGAGAGAGAGCUGAAAGCAUUUGGAUAGUGCAUGCAGGCAGCUGUUAACCCAGAUUUGGAGUAAUUCUGAGCUCUCCACGGUUCAGCACGGCAUAAUUGCCUGCGUGUGUGUGAGUGUGUGUGUGGGAAGAUGCAAGUCAUGGAUCACUGAUCGCUUACCAAGCCCUUCAAUUCACUUCUUGCAAGAGCAGCUCCAUCUUUAAAUAUUAUUUAUUUUACAAUAGUAUCGACGUGUGUGCGGUGAGGUGAACGUUGGGUAUUGAUCUGUGGCUACAGCUGCCUGGUUUAUCAAAGGAUGCUUUACUGCCGUUUCCAUGUCUUAAUUGAACAUCCAAAAAAAAGAAAAAGAAAUGCUAAGUGGAAUCAUAUUAAAUUAUAAAUAGAAAGAUAAAAUGUUGCAGCAUUGCAUUUGAGCAGGAGCCAAUUUGUUCUCCAGUUGGAAGAUGCAGAAAGGAAACCGGCCACCUCAGGAACAUUCCAAGUGAAACGCUGUCAUCUGCUGGACAUAUUUCACCCUGCACCUCUCCUCGCAAGGCAUGCUGGGAGGGAAGGGUCCAAUUUGAGCCAUUAUGGGCAAAGUGGAGUGAUGGGUAGAUCAUUCAGUCAAGAUAAAAAACACACACAUCUUCUCUAAAUUGCCCCAGCUGAAAUCUUUCUGCUAUUUCAAACCUAUAAUUGUGAUGAAUGGAGGACUGCACAAUUUCCUGCUAUUAGAUAAACUGCUGCUGUUAGCCUACUUACAAAGCUCUUUCUGUGGCUCCCAAAUGAGCAAUGAUUUAUUUUUUUUUUUUUUUAAAUUUGCAGUCUCUGAAUAACAGACCAAGCACCGGGUGGAUAUAUAAUAAAGGAUAUGCUGUGUCAUGUUAAUUUGUGCAGCAUGGUGUAGAUGAAAUCAGUUCAAAUAGACCGCAAUUCCUAUCAAAAUCAAAUUUUCGUACAUUUGGGAAUGUAUUGGCUGCAAAUACUUAGAAGAAUUAGUUUAUGAUAUUUUGCAUUUUAGAAAUUACAUGUUACAAAACUUCACUUCACUUGCUUUUUAAAACAUCUAUAUGAAGAUAUAACACCUAAAAAUGAUUGGUUCUCUUAAUUUUAAAGAAAGGAAGAAAGGAAAACAGGAAAUGGUCACGCAAGGUGAGGUCGAAAGGUAUUGUGGGUAAUGUGGUCUUGUUUUUGUUUAUUCCAAAGGACGGCGACAGCUCGUCUUCUCGAGCUUUAGGGGAUUUUUUUUUUGAGAUUGUUCAACCAGAUACCCUAGAAGAUGCGUUUGACACCAUCUUUGAGGGCGCUUGAAGGCCAUGGUGUAUCAGGUAACGGCGUCCUCUGCCACCUGGGAGCAGCAGGAAGACGAGAAGCAGCUCAGCGGCGCCUCCCGAUGCUGUUAAUGAAGCGAGGCGUCGAGCAAGUCCUCGCUGAGCAGAGACAUAUUUACUGAGGCUGUCAGGAGAGAGAGAUGGAAACCAAACCACCGAAAGUGACUGAUGAUCGUCUCCACAAGUCAGACUGAGCAUCAGUGGUAGGAAGCAGUGCUUCUCUUACUUUAGUUCUCUCAGAUUAACUCCUCCAAAGCCUGGGAACACAGGAGGCAGUGCUUUCUUGCUGUUUGUGC
Amphiprion ocellaris (clown anemonefish) is the source of this 2443-nucleotide long non-coding RNA. RefSeq lists it as uncharacterized. The record is from RefSeq and is a predicted model, not a curated record. The transcript has 4 exons. NCBI's taxonomy places the organism in Eukaryota, Metazoa, Chordata, Actinopteri, Pomacentridae.